Molecule: long non-coding RNA, 202 nt
Filed under: Elaeis guineensis (African oil palm)
Lineage: Eukaryota; Viridiplantae; Streptophyta; Magnoliopsida; Arecales; Arecaceae
Description: long non-coding RNA (EGUI_LNC012108)
Source: RNAcentral
UUGCUUCUUCACGGGCUUUUUCUUCUAAUUAGAUUUUCUCUUAGAGCAAGUAGCCCAUUCCAUUAUGAGAACAAUGCCCCUUGAACCCUUUAAGGCCCCUUCAGUAGUUAUCAAUAUAUUUAACGAUUCAGUCUUGUUAUAGUCAAUCUUAUUUAUAUGAUAGUUUACUAUAAAUUAUCCAUAAGAAUCAGGAAGGGAUUGC